GGGACUGUAGCUUAGUGGUAAAGCACUUGCUUUGAAUGUCUGAGACACUGGGUUCAAUCCUCAGCACCCCA
This 71-nucleotide transfer RNA is filed under the name Ictidomys tridecemlineatus (thirteen-lined ground squirrel). Its description in RNAcentral is "Spermophilus tridecemlineatus (thirteen-lined ground squirrel) tRNA". It matches the Rfam family "tRNA". From Rfam's summary of the family: Transfer RNA (tRNA) molecules are approximately 80 nucleotides in length. Their secondary structure includes four short double-helical elements and three loops (D, anti-codon, and T loops). The record is from Rfam by way of RNAcentral. Lineage: Eukaryota; Metazoa; Chordata; Mammalia; Rodentia; Sciuridae.